UGGGGAAUUGUUCGCAAUGGGCGCAAGCCUGACGACGCAACGCCGCGUGGAGGAUGACGGUCUUCGGAUUGUAAACUCCUGUUGCCCGGGACGAACCGCUCAGACUGAAUAGGUCUGAGUCUGACGGUACCGGGUGAGGAAGCCCCGGCUAACUCUGUGCCAGCAGCCGCGGUAAUACAGAGGGGGCAAGCGUUGUUCGGAAUUACUGGGCGUAAAGGGCGCGUAGGCGGCCUGUUAAGUCGAACGUGAAAUCCCUGGGCUCAACCCAGGAACUGCGUCCGAUACUGGCAGGCUUGAAUCCGGGAGAGGGAUGCGGAAUUCCAGGUGUAGCGGUGAAAUGCGUAGAUAUCUGGAGGAACACCGGUGGCGAAGGCGGCAUCCUGGACCGGCAUUGACGCUGAGGCGCGAAAGCCAGGGGAGCAAACGG
This 427-nucleotide ribosomal RNA is filed under the name uncultured bacterium. RNAcentral describes it as "bacterial SSU rRNA". It matches the Rfam family "Bacterial small subunit ribosomal RNA", at positions 355 to 775 of the family's 1533-position model. The record is from RNAcentral.